This 90-nucleotide microRNA precursor is filed under the name Ornithorhynchus anatinus (platypus). RNAcentral's name for it is "microRNA oan-mir-143 precursor". Its record names the gene oan-mir-143. It matches the Rfam family "mir-143 microRNA precursor family". The record is from miRBase by way of RNAcentral. Lineage: Eukaryota; Metazoa; Chordata; Mammalia; Monotremata; Ornithorhynchidae.
GAUGUCUCCCAGCCCAAGGUGCAGUGCUGCAUCUCUGGUCAGUUGUGAGUCUGAGAUGAAGCACUGUAGCUCGGGAAGGGAGGAGCUGUC